This 68-nucleotide non-coding RNA is filed under the name Mycobacterium sp. Lineage: Bacteria; Bacillati; Actinomycetota; Actinomycetes; Mycobacteriales; Mycobacteriaceae. The record is from RNAcentral.
GUGAGGCCGCGUUCUGCGGCCGACCGGACGAUCGCAACCGUACCCGGACCCCGACAAGACGGUAUUUC